ACUCCUGCGGGAGGCAGCAGUGGGGAAUUUUGGACAAUGGGCGAAAGCCUGAUCCAGCAAUGCCGCGUGAGUGAAGAAGGCCUUCGGGUUGUAAAGCUCUUUUGUCAGGGAAGAAACGGUGAGAGCUAAUAUCUUUUGCUAAUGACGGUACCUGAAGAAUAAGCACCGGCUAACUACGUGCCAGCAGCCGCGGUAAUACGUAGGGUGCAAGCGUUAAUCGGAAUUACUGGGCGUAAAGCGUGCGCAGGCGGUUUUGUAAGUCUGAUGUGAAAUCCCCGGGCUCAACCUGGGAAUUGCAGUGGAGACUGCAAGGCUAGAAUCUGGCAGAGGGGGGUAGAAUUCCACGUGUAGCAGUGAAAUGCGUAGAUAUGUGGAGGAACACCGAUGGCGAAGGCAGCCCCCUGGGUCAAGAUUGACGCUCAUGCACGAAAGCGUGGGGAGCAAACAGGAUUAGAAACCCGUGUAGUCCCA
RNAcentral lists this ribosomal RNA (471 nucleotides) under uncultured organism. RNAcentral's name for it is "partial 16S ribosomal RNA". It matches the Rfam family "Bacterial small subunit ribosomal RNA", at positions 335 to 797 of the family's 1533-position model. The record is from RNAcentral.